Molecule: ribosomal RNA, 158 nt
Filed under: [Candida] sp. YM24405
Lineage: Eukaryota; Fungi; Ascomycota; Saccharomycetes; Saccharomycetales
Description: Candida sp. YM24405 5.8S ribosomal RNA
Rfam family: 5.8S ribosomal RNA
About the family: 5.8S ribosomal RNA (5.8S rRNA) is a component of the large subunit of the eukaryotic ribosome. It is transcribed by RNA polymerase I as part of the 45S precursor that also contains 18S and 28S rRNA.
Source: RNAcentral
AAAACUUUCAACGAAGGAUCUCUUGGUUCUCGCAUCGAUGAAGAACGCAGCAAAGCGCGAUAGGUAAUGUGAAUUGCAGACGUGAAUCAUUGAAUUUUUGAACGCACAUUGCACCUUCCUUUCGGAAGGUAUACCUGUGCGAGCGUCAUUUCUCUCUC